CCUACGGGAGGCAGCAGUAAGGAAUCUUGCGCAAUGGGCGAAAGCCUGACGCAGCGACGCCGCGUGGGCGAUGAAGGCCUUCGGGUUGUAAAGCCCUUUUCUGGGGGAACAAAUUUUGAGUGUACCCCAGGAAUAAGCCACGGCUAACUACGUGCCAGCAGCCGCGGUAAUACGUAGGUGGCAAGCGUUAUCCGGAAUCACUGGGCGUAAAGCGUCCGCAGGUGGGAAAGCAAGUUACAUGUGAAAUACCGGGGCUCAACAUCGGAAUUGCAUGUAAAACUACUUGUCUAGAGGGUGGGAGAGGCGAGUGGAAUUCUCGGUGUAGGGGUAAAAUCCAUAGAUAUCGAGAGGAACACCAAAAGCGAAGGCAGCUCGCUGGAACAUUCCUGACACUCAUGGACGAAAGCGUGGGGAGCGAAAAGGAUUAGAUACCCUUGUAGU
This 441-nucleotide ribosomal RNA is filed under the name uncultured bacterium. RNAcentral describes it as "partial 16S ribosomal RNA". It matches the Rfam family "Bacterial small subunit ribosomal RNA", at positions 338 to 794 of the family's 1533-position model. The record is from RNAcentral.